RNAcentral lists this ribosomal RNA (253 nucleotides) under uncultured bacterium. RNAcentral describes it as "partial 16S ribosomal RNA". It matches the Rfam family "Bacterial small subunit ribosomal RNA", at positions 524 to 776 of the family's 1533-position model. The record is from RNAcentral.
UACGUAGGGUGCAAGCGUUAAUCGGAAUUACUGGGCGUAAAACGUGCGCAGGCGGUCAUGCAAGACAGAUGUGAAAUCCCCGGGCUCAACCUGGGAACUGCAUUUGUGACUGCAUGGCUGGAGUGCGGUAGAGGGGGAUGGAAUUCCGCGUGUAGCAGUGAAAUGCGUAGAUAUGCGGAGGAACACCGAUGGCGAAGGCAAUCCCCUGGGCCUGCACUGACGCUCAUGCACGAAAGCGUGGGGAGCAAACAGG